This 148-nucleotide unclassified non-coding RNA is filed under the name Xanthomonas phaseoli pv. phaseoli. Its description in RNAcentral is "P11". The record is from RNAcentral. Lineage: Bacteria; Pseudomonadati; Pseudomonadota; Gammaproteobacteria; Lysobacterales; Lysobacteraceae.
CGGUGAACAAGUUGGCACGGUGAUUGCGUAGGACGCACAUGCAGGUACAACGGCGUGCCUGCAACAACAUGCAGACGAUGCCAGCGGCUCAACGGCGCGCCGCACGCAUCCAGGACAACGGCGUCCUUCCGGUAUACCGGAGGGCGCC